This 503-nucleotide ribosomal RNA is filed under the name uncultured bacterium. RNAcentral describes it as "partial 16S ribosomal RNA". It matches the Rfam family "Bacterial small subunit ribosomal RNA", at positions 30 to 523 of the family's 1533-position model. The record is from RNAcentral.
AUUGAACGCUGGCGGCAGGCUUAACACAUGCAAGUCGAGCGGGGUGAUGGUGCUUGCACUAUCACUUAGCGGCGGACGGGUGAGUAAUGCUUAGGAAUCUGCCUAUUAGUGGGGGACAACAUCUCGAAAGGGAUGCUAAUACCGCAUACGUCCUACGGGAGAAAGCAGGGGAUCACUUGUGACCUUGCGCUAAUAGAUGAGCCUACGACGGAUUAGCUAGUUGGUGGGGUAAAGGCCUACCAAGGCGACGAUCUGUAGCGGGUCUGAGAGGAUGUUCCACCACAAUGGGGCUGGGACGCGGCCCAGACUCCUACGGGAAGCAGCAGUGGGGAAUAUUGGACAAUGAGCGGAAGCCUGAUCCAGCCAUGCCGCGUGUGUGAAGAAGGCCUUUUGGUUGUAAAGCACUUUAAGCGAGGAGGAGGCUACUAGUAUUAAUACUACUGGAUAGUGGACGUUACUCGCAGAAUAAGCACCGGCUAACUCUGUGCCAGCAGCCGCAGUAA